RNAcentral lists this ribosomal RNA (360 nucleotides) under Triticum aestivum (bread wheat). RNAcentral's name for it is "partial small subunit ribosomal RNA". The record is from RNAcentral. Lineage: Eukaryota; Viridiplantae; Streptophyta; Magnoliopsida; Poales; Poaceae.
AUGUAUCACUCGAUGAUGAUGAUGAUGAUGAUGAUGAUGAUGAUGAUGAUGAUGAUGAUGAUGAUGAUGAUGAUGAUGAUGAUGAUGAUGAUGAUGAUGAUGAUGAAAUUCCCCUGCUUGAAUUUACAAUGCCUUGCUUCAGAAAAGGGGUUUACAUUGCCCUCAGAUUCCAAACUGUCUGUUCGUUUCAGAUUCUUUCGGAAUAGUAUUGCUUCAAGUUGUUCGCGAUUAGAUGCUUCGAUGGGCAGAAUCCACAUCGCAUCAAGACCAAGUAGGCCUGGAGAGCACGAAGUCACCCAGAGUGAUAAACAGACAAGUCGGGGUAUUGGAAGUAAACCACUGCUCGUGUCAUCGACUUGA